Molecule: long non-coding RNA, 316 nt
Filed under: Oryza sativa Indica Group (long-grained rice)
Lineage: Eukaryota; Viridiplantae; Streptophyta; Magnoliopsida; Poales; Poaceae
Description: lncRNA OsZS97_01G007450
Source: RNAcentral
AUGACGGCAGCGCGGGAGGCUCCUCUCCCUCUCAAUCGUCUCACUCUUCUGCUCCGGAUCAACCUCGAGCUGCUCUCCCUCGACCACCUCUCGGGGAUUGGCCCGGUGAUAGGCCGCAAAUCGCCGUCGGUGGUAGACUGCGGUGGCAGGGAGUUCAGACUUCAGACGACGACUUCAGACGACUUGCGAGUGCGUGGCUGGCACGAGUCCCGGUCGACGCUUGACGUCAACAAAUCUCGCUUGUGGAAUUGUGGUGCUCUCGACAUAGGCCCUCACCCUGUUGAUGCGCGUCGGCUUGUCCGCUAAGAAAACCCAU